Molecule: long non-coding RNA, 41414 nt
Filed under: Citrus sinensis (sweet orange)
Lineage: Eukaryota; Viridiplantae; Streptophyta; Magnoliopsida; Sapindales; Rutaceae
Description: long non-coding RNA (CSIN_LNC001591)
Source: RNAcentral
CCAAUAAUUCAGAUCACCGGUGCAAUCUUCCCGAACCUUAAUUGACAAAUUUAAUCAUGAUUUAUGAACAAGAAAAUCCGCUAACAUUUUGUUUUAAUUUAAGAUUAAAGAUAGGUUUAAAGGUUUGAUCUUUUAAAUGAAAUUAAUAGAUACUUGGGUGUUUUUCAGGAAACUGAAGGCUUUCACAAGUGUUGAACCAUAUUCGUCAACAAGAUCAGUGGCCAAGAUUGCUUGGACUGCAAAUGUUACAUCCCACAGUUGUGACCCGUUGUAUCCCUGUCAUUGAGGAUUUUAUAAUUAAUAUCAAAAUCCCCAAUUGAUUAAAUUUUUCCUAAAUAAAACUGUUUAACUAAUUGCAACCUGCAUCUUCAUUCCAUCUUCAGCAAUCCAGAGAUAGUCUUUAAUUCUUGAGAGGUGACGUUUAUAGGCCUCAGAAUUUGGGUCCUCCACCCAACAGCAAAUCAUGUUUAGUACCUAUGUAUGCACAAAGGUUUGACAAUGAAUUCAAAUGUAGUGGGCUGAUAUUAUGUGCGCACACAUGUUACUAUUUCAUUGGUGGGGUUGUGGGCCCACAACAUAAUCCUCCUAAUAAAAAAUUGACAUGCGUCCUAUUGCGUACUAUAACGUGCGUGACAAUACUCAUCCAAUUAAGAUCAUUUAAAUGUAAUUAAUUGAUCUUACAUUAUUAAUUAAUAUUCCUAAAAUAGCUUCCAAUGUAUCAAAAACCAUUCUAAAACUUUGUAAAUACAAUUAUUUUUCCAAAAAAGCUUACAAUGGAUUUGAUUUGACCAAUGGCAGAAUAAGAAUUUUGGUUCAAUGGGAGGUAUAAUAGAGAAAAACAAACUUUUUAGGCUAAAAGAUAAAAACUGUAAAUAUGAAGGGAUUAGGCAUAAAAUUUACAUUAAGUGGGUUAAAUUUCGUCCUGAAAAUUACCUUAUUGACGGGGCCAAUGCAAAUAUACUGAGUAUUCUCAUCUUCAUAAUGGAUGUGCUGCAUUACAGUUUUAAGAGCAUUGUGUCUCAGCUUAGAGAAAGGCCAUUUCAUUACAAGAGGUUCCCCAAUUUUGUGAAGACACCCCCAUAAUAUGUCUUGGAUCAUGGGGUGGGGAUAGUAAAGGUCCUCCUGCAAAACGUUAAUUUUUCUCCUAUUAUAUUAGUAAUAAUACAAAUAAAGCUAAAUAUACCAAUUGCCAUACAAAGUUUUAUUUGCUUACAAAUUGGUAUGGUAUUUUUCUUUAAACAAUUUUAAUACAAAUGCUCUCUUUACAAGCAGGUCCAAAAUUAAAAUCUUGUCAUAUUAGAACAAGGGAACCACUCUAGUUUUCUUUAAUUAAUAUUUCAAAAAUAAUUUCUGCAACCUCUAUCGUCCUUCCGUCUACUUUUGAAGAAAGUGACCUUCCAUCCACUUUUGAUUUUGAUAGGAAAUUAAAUAUUAUACAUUAUGCGAAAAUAUUGAUCAUUUGAUUGUCUUUUAUUAUAGAUCUCAAUUAUUGAUUCAAUCUAAAUCAUUCGGGAGUUAAAUAUUUUUAAUUUCUUCACAAUUACAUCGUACUACUUCUCAAAAAAUAAAAGAGAAAAAGAAAAUUAGAUCGUACUAUCUUCCCUACUUUAUAAUCAAAUUUGUUUAUAUUAUGUUUUCAAAAAAUGAAAAAGAUUAUCUCACUCAUUAUUUUAUAUCUUAUUCUCAUGUCACCCGUACUAAAAUUUAUAAUUUAAUCCCUUGCAAGCGACACCGCCAACAUUUUUUAAAGCCCCAAUUGGCGAAUCGUACCACUCAUUAUUAUUAAUUUGAGCAAUUAACCAUGCAUUGACAGUAAAAUAAAAUUAGUUUUCUAUUAGGCUAAUGCUAAGUUACAUGCAUGUAAAAUAGGGGGAUUCUUUCUAUUAAGUUAUCAAAGAAAAAUGAGUGGAACCCCUUGAAUAAAUAUCUUUAAUUAUUUAAUUAAUUAAUUUAUUUAUAAUUUAUAAUUAAUUGAAAAACUAUGGGUAAAAGUAAAUGAAUUUCAUUAUAUAUAUUUAUAUAUUCGGGUUCCCUUAUAUUAUUAAAGUAAAACACGUUAUAUUGGAGCGUGUAUUUUGUCUUUUACUUUAUCUCUUACUUUAAUAAUUUAAGAAAUCUCUAAUUAGAUAAUCACUGUAUAUAAAUUAAACUUUUGCAUUUAAUUUUCAAUUGUUUUGUAAAAAUUCAUAACAAAUUAAAAUUUUAUGAAAAUUUUGCUUACUUGUUCCAUAAUUUUUCAUUUACUUUUGCAAUUAGUUGUGAAAAAUAAUUAGUCAAUUAAUUAAAGAAUUAAAUAUAUUCACAUAUAUCCCAAUGUCAAACAACCACAAAGGAUAAAAUGAUAAGAUUAAAAAAAAAUUAACACCCAAAAAAUUGAAAUGUGUUUUAAAGUAUGAAAGGGUUUCGAUUAGUCUUAUUAAACAAUAUGGGUUCGCUCUUUUUCUCAAAUUAUCACAUAAAAGAGAAAUGAGAGGAAAAAAAUUGACAUCUAAUAUUGUAAUUGUAAUAUUUAUUAUUAGUAGAGUAUUAAGUUAAUUCGGCUUGUCUUUUCUCUUGUCACACAUAAAGUUAUGAAGUUUUUAAAUUUAAAUAGAAUGGAAUAAAGAUUAUUUUAAUUUUAUUGUACCUUGGCACACAAAUUUCGGGCAUGGUCCCAAUCGAUGUCCGGUGAACAGCCUGUUACUAAAUAAUAACUAGUGAUGAAAAACAACGGAAGCCUCAUCCCCACUACGGAACUGCUGUACGGCCAGGGCGGAUGUACGGUACAGCAGCCACAGUUUUAAAAUUUUCUUGAAUUUUUUCCGCACUUUAAGAUCCCAGACCAAAAAACAUAAACAUCCGAUAUUAAUUAACUACAUGGUAUAAUGAGUUCCUUUUCACUUAAAAUAUCAAUUUAAGGUUUUGAAUUUACACAUAAAAAAGCUGGAUUAUAGAUAAUAUAAACAAACACACAAACAAAAUUAGUUUUUACCUGGAUGAAAAGGAAGAAAAUAAGGGAGAAGCCAUAUUUCCGGGGGUAGUGGAUUGUUCCCACUCCACUCGUAUACUCCAAGCACCUAUUUUUAUUUUGCCGAAAAAUAUCGGUAGCAAAAAUCUAAAUAAUGAUUUGUGAAGAUAAAAUAACAAAACAGUAAUAUAAAAUGUGAACUAAUUGUAUACGGUUUGCUCGCAAUUCAGUGCUAAAUUGUUGUGUAUUUUAGCCUUGAAAUGCCAACAUUCGUGAACAAAUUUGCACGAAGACGUUCAGACCGGAGAAUGAUUACAAGGAUGUAAUGAAUGGUUCAUACCGAAAGCCACAUCUUUCCCCAAGAUGGAAUGGAGGUCACCCCACCGCGAUCAAGGAUCCAUUUUCGGGCUUUUUCCAUGGCACCAUCAUCCCCACCGUCCAUUGUCUCUCCAAGCAGUCUCAAAGUGACAUAUGAUAGCGCAGUACAGAACAUCGUGCUGCACCCUUCUAUAUGCAAUCCCCAUCCUCCAUCUCUAUUCUGUAGAUUAUUGGUUUCACAUUACUCCGCAAAAAUUAUGGCUUAGUUUCAAUAAACACCUUCAGUUUUGUGAAAUAUUUGUUGAGAAAUUAAUCUACACGGUUAAUAGAAUUGUUUAAUUAUGUAUUUUUAUAAGUAAAACAUAUACCUGGUGGUUAUAUAGAUAACGAAUCAUUUCCCUUCGAUGUUCCACUGUUAAAAUUGCAUUCAAGGCACCGGUUACAAAUAAGCCCAUCACCUGUCUCAUAAUUUAUUACACAUAAAUAUUGAUUUUGAGUUUGAAAAUGGAUAUAUAAAUGAUGCGACUUAAUUUUGAAAAAUAUAUAUAUAUUUUAAAAAAAAAGAAUCUUAAUCUUAAUUUUCAAAAAUAUGCAUAGAUUUUUUUUAAAAAAAAAAAAAAAAAGAAUGCUGAUGCUUGUCAUGAUGACAACAAUAUGAAUAAGACAUUGAAAGCAGUUUUUUUGCUAGAAAUACCUACAAUUUUUUUUUUUAAUAACAGAAAGGGAGAGAAGGGGACCGUGAAAUUGUAAAUUCAAUGAAUUUGUUCAAUUCUUUGUGACUAAUAAGAACCUUAUAUUAAACUAUAUGGACAUGUAUAGACUUAAAAAAUACCAAAAAUGAUAACAUUAUUGAAGUUCAGUUUACUCGUAUCGGUGCUGAUGUGAUUUCUGAAGAGAAAAAAAUAUGAUUUCGGGAGGCUGGGAUCAUUAACAUAGUGAAAACGACUAUUGAAAUUUUUUUUUCUUUUCUUUUCGUUAAUUUUCACGAAAAUAAAUAAAGAUUUGAAGAAGGAGAUCAUAUUUCUUUAAUCCGAAAGUUGGCUUCAAUUUGUCCAAGUACAAGAAAGUCUUACAUGAGAUCAUCAUUUGCACACUCAUCUAACAAAGUUUUGAUUACACACGCACAUCUUGAAAUCGACCAAUUGUGAAUACAUACGAAUAAAUGAUUUUUAAGAUGAAUGAAUAUCAUGAUUUGAUCAGACGAUCAUAUUAAGCCUCUCUCAUAUAAGUGAUUAAAAACACUCACACACAUUUCUGUGUAUCUUUAUUUUUUUAUCCAAAAUAUUAUAAAAACUCAAAAGACAAGUAAACUAAUUGAGGAUCACCAUAUAUGUAUGUAUAUAUAGAUAUACCAAGCCAGGAAGAAGGAAUAAAGGGCCACCAUAGUCACCAGGCCAAAAGCCAUCCUCGGCCUGGAGACUAGAAUAGAAUCUCAGAGCUCUCCUCAAUGUUGUACUCACAACUUGCUCAUCACUUAUUUCUUCAUCAUCUUUUACUUUCACCUGAGGCAGCUGCUUCAUCUCACAUGCAUUCUCCUUCGCAAACUGUACAUAUAACAUAAACACAAGUAAUAUAUUACUCGGUAAUUCUCAAAUCCUGACGACUUCAUGAUGAGAAUUAUAUUAAUGGUUGAAUCUGCAUUUUAUAAAGUGCGAAAAUGAUGAAAAUCUUGGUGUAAAGUUUACAUACAUACAAACGAUAUUUCUUUACCUGAAGUCUCAUUAAGAGAUCAGAACUGUGCUUCGUUAGAAACCGAUUCUCGGUGAAAUCAUUGCGAAGUUUGUUAACUUGUUGCCGUUCUUCAGGAGUUCCAAGAUUUGGGUCAAAUUCCCAGAAUUGUCUGCCAAUAUGAUUGUUCAAACUUGUAAGCCAUGGAUCAUGUUCACAAUUUCCUUCCGAAAGCUUCAAUUUCCACAUUCUUUAAAUAAAAAAAAAGCUAUAUAUAUGAAGAGAUUUGGAGCAAUUUGGCAGCAAUGACACAAUGUUUAAGCAAAGCAAUAUGUGUGCAUGAAGAAUUAGCAUUACAUCAAGGUGAUUAUAUAGGCAUUAAUUCUAAUUACAAUUACAAGGGUACCCUUAAUUAACACUUGCGUUACGAUUUAAUCACAUUAUAGGAGCCGUCGCCUAGCACAUGAAUUUCAAUUGUCUCCAAAUUAAAUGAUUAUUAAAUUGAACAUGAUAGUGCGUGAUACGUGAUUUGGACUUUGUACUUUACAUAAUCCCGGAUCUGGUCUGGACUUUAACAAAAUCUCGGAUAAUAAUCCCAUCCUGUCAGAAGCAAUCCCUUUUGCAAGAAGCUAUUUUGGAACAAAACGAAGGUUUUCUACUUCAGGAACAAUUAUAAAUAGAAAGCAAUCCUAAUUCCUACCUUAUGAUAUAUUCCAAUCUUAAAUUUAGAUUUUGUUAAAAUUUGAUAGAGUUAUUAAAUCAUAUAGUCUCAUAAGUUAUUACACUAUUUUUUUUUUUUUAGAAGAUGCUAUUACACUAUUAAACCAUAUGACUUAAUACUUUUUUUGAACUUUAAUAAAGUCCAUGACUCUCUCUCUCUCUCUCAAUAUAUAUAUAUAUAUAUAUAUAUAUAUAUAUAUAUAUAUAUAUAUAUAUAUAUAUAUAUAUAUAUAUAUAUAUAUAUAUAUAUAUAUAUAUAUAUAUAUAUAUAUAUAUAUAUAUAUAUAUAUAUAUAUAUAUAUAUAUAUAUAUAUAUAUAUAUAUAUAUAUAUAUAUAUAUAUAUAUAUAUAUAUAUAUAUAUAUAUAUAUAUAUAUAUAUAUAUAUAUAUAUAUAUAUAUAUAUAUAUAUAUAUAUAUAUAUAUAUAUAUAUAUAUAUAUAUAUAUAUAUAUAUAUAUAUAUAUAUAUAUAUAUAUAUAUAUAUAUAUAUAUAUAUAUAUAUAUAUAUAUAUAUAUAUAUAUAUAUAUAUAUAUAUAUAUAUAUAUAUAUAUAUAACGCAGUCCACACAAUCAUUUCUUAAGAUGUUAGCCUACAGUUUUAAGAUUUACGCGAUGUGAUAUUGUCAUGUAGACGUCUGUUUCAUCAAAGUGGCAACAUAAUAUCCACACGUAACAAUUAGGAUGUGUUUGGCACGUAAGAUAGGAUAGGAUGGAAUAACAUAAGAUAUGAUUGUAAAAUUAUGUUGUAUUUGGAAGGAUAUGAUAAGAUAAGAUUAUAUUAGAUUUGGUAUUAUCUCGUGUUUGGUAUACUAUAGCAUUGUACUGAACUAAACUUAAGAUAGGAUUGUACUAAUUUUUGGGACAAAAUAAAAAAUUAAUCCAAUCUUGGGCAUGUUUGGCUGUCUGAAUUAGUUGAUUAGUCCAACAUUUAAUCCGUAAUGAGGUUAUUAAUGUAAGUAGGAUAAAAUCUUCUUUAUCACUCUUUUCAUUUUUAUUUAAACUAAUAUUCAUAUAAAUAAAUAAAUAAAAUUAAUUUCAUAAUUGAUUUAAACUAAAAUUUUAUAUUAUACUAAUUAUCAAAUUUAAAUUCAACAAUUUGUUGACGCUAGUAUUUAAUAUAAGAUUAAAUAUCAAAAUUAUAUUCAAUAAUUUAUUUACAAAAUAUUAAAUUUAACAAGUAGUAAUAUAAUUUAAAAUAAUUGUACUAUUUAAAUAGUUAUUUAGCUUUAUUAAAUUAAAUUUAGCAUACUCAUGAUAUUAUAACAAACAAAAGACAAUACUACAUAUAAUUCACUCUAUUCAAUUCUAAUAUAGUUCAAUCUAAUUUUAGUAGUUAGUUGAAUUCAAUCCUGUAUGUCAAACAUAUCCUAGGAUUGUACUAAACUAAUUUAGAAGAAAAUGAAAUAUAUUAGUAUUGAUUUAUUUAUUUAUAAGAGUAGAUUUAUGAACAUAAAUUUUUUUAAUAUGAAUAUUCAAAUUAUUAAAUAAAAAAACUACUGAAUAUUUUGUGUGUGUGUGUAAUUUAGAAAUUCUAACAUCUAUAUUAUUAGCUAAGUAAAAUAAAAAAUUUAAAGUAAAUAAAUAUUUAAAUAUCAAUAUGAUAAUAUAAUAUAAUAAUAUUUAGAAAUAUUUCAUAGCGUAGUUAUUCUACAAUUACUUGUAAACAUGAAAAAAAAAUUUAGAAAGCUAUCCUUACAAUUAUCAUUGGAUAAAAAUUUUUAUUUUGCUUCAUAAAAAUUAAAAAUGUGGGACCAGGAUUAAAUAGUGUGAUCCUAAGAUUUUAUCUUUAUAGCACCAAAUAAAGAAUUAGACUAAUUUAAUUAAAAAAAAGUCCUAUCCUAUAUAUAUAUAUAUAUCACCUGCGUUGCAACAUAUGAUACUAUUUAUCUUCAUUCAGAUAAACUGUUGGAUUAAAAAUAAUUGAAUCUAAUGGUUGGAGUUAGAUAAAUUUUAAAUGAGAACUUGACUGGCAACCUUUGAAACUGGUUAUGUAUUUUUGUAUUAGGGAACGUCGGUUUCACAAAAUGCAUUGCAAUGUUAAACAACCACUCCUUCUUACUAAUCUCAACUUCCCUUAUUCUAACAAAUAAACAUAAACCAGCCCUCCUAAGCUAAUUACCUCUGUCUUUCUCUUUCAAACUUUUUGUUUUUGUUUUUGUUUUUUUUGGCAUUACUAGCUGCAUCGAUUCCAAGGCCAUAACAACAUAUGAAACGGAUGCCAUAUUCACUUUAUUUUCACAUAAUGAGAUGUGCCUAUUUCGUUUUCUUCCAGCACUGCCCAAUAUUGUUUUCGGUCACAUCUUCGUCUUCACGAUCGGAAUUUCUGUUUGCUUUAAUUGACGUUGUUGCUGAUUUAAUCUGCACACAUCGAAAUUGAAAUUUCACAAUCACAAUUUGUGGGGGGAUGGACAAGAUAUCGAUGAUCGGAAUUUCUGAGGAGUGGAAAGUAUUUAGAUGCCCACCACAAUUUCUACAGUGUGGACAAAUUUCUGACAAUGGCCUUCCAAAAAAGAGUCAAUAGCAAUAUGUAUGCGGACCCUUAUUUAAUCUAUUGUUUUUUUCAAUUUGUUUUAGCAACCGGCUCCUUCAUUUAUAUAUCUACUUUCUAACUCCAACCGUUAGAUUUAAUCACUUUUAAUCUAAAAUAUAUCUGAAUGAAGACAAAUCGUGUUGUACGUUGUUGCAAUAGUUGCAACGUAAGCAAGUCUUAUAUAUAUAUAUAGAGAGAGAGAGAACAUCCUCAUUAUAAUAAAAUGAGGAUACUAUCAACAUUUAAAAGAAAAAUACAAUCUUUAAUAUAUUAAAAUUUACAUUUUUUUAAUAUUUUAAUAAUAUUUUUAUUUUAUUAAAAUGAGGAUGUCUGCACUAGAGAAUUAUUAUAUAUAUACAUUUACGUAUACAUAUAUAUACACACUGCCACCAAACGUGAACUUAGGAAAUUCUGGUUCUGUUCGAUAUUUUUAAAAAAUCAAACCCGAUCAAUUCAGUAUAAAGCUGAACCAUAAUGAACCCGUGAAUUGGUCCAAUCUGGUUUAGGUUCAGUUUCAACUUUGAACAUAGUUUUUUUUUUUUUAAAUCAAAUUUUCCGUAUUUUUUUUCUAUUUUAUUUGAUAUUUUUGUUGCGACAAACUGUCAUGGAGUUAAAUAUUUCAAAUUUUGAAAAAGGAAGAAAGUAAAUAAAUAAUUUUUGAACUUGGCAUCUGAAAAAGCGAAAAAAUGGACAGGCGUAUGUCUGACAAAUCCACGUGUCACCAAUCAAACAGCAACGAGGCUCAUAAAACGGAACUAACGGGACCCACGCUCAUAGGCUUCCUGAAAUUCGAAAUACAGAGUAAGCGCGCAAAAUUCAAGCCGAAACAGAAAAAACAAAAUCUCACGCACUCUUUCUCUUAAGGAUUCACACCGAAGAGAGGUGAGGAGGAGUUCUCGAUAUCUGCAUCAAGUUCUCUGAGAUUGUGGCCUUUCAAUUAUUUUAUUAUUUUAAUUUUGAGUAUUUCAAUGAUUCAAUCUCUCUACUAUCAAUUUAAUUUGAUUUUUUCAGUUCUCCAAGAAUUUUUAUCCACGGUAAUGCUGGUCUCAGUCUUUGUGGUUUAAGCUCGCGCUAUCUCUUUACGUUCGUCGAUUCUUUAAUUCUUUUGUUAAAUUUACUUUAUGCUCAAUUGUCGACAGUGUAGGCUGUAGAGUAAAUUUUGAAGAAAUUAUGAAAAUAGAAAAUGUUGUCAUUUACGGUGUUAUUUUAUUAUUUAUUUACUUGUUAUCAUGAAAAAUUCUUCAUUCAUUUGCAUUCUUUUAGCACCGAUGGUUUCAUAAGAGAAAAAAAUUACUCAUUUUAGGAACGAUUUGGUGAUUUAGCAAGAUGAAGGCAAAUUCACAGAUGAAAGGAAGGGGAGCUUCUAGGGUUAAUGUACAACAAGUCUCAUUUGAGCUUAAGCAUAAAGUGAUUCUUGCACUAAACAAGCUAGCUGAUAGAGAUACUUAUCAAAUAGGGGUCGAGGAGCUUGACAAAUUGGCUGAAUGUUUAACCUCAGAGAAGAUUGCUCCAUUUGUUUCGUGUAUUUUGGACACCGAUUCAGAACAGAAGAGUGCAGUUCGAAAGGAAUGUGUUAGAUUGAUGGGUACAUUAGCUAAGUUUCAUCAAGCUCUUGUUGGGCCGCAUGUCAAUAAAAUGGUUGCUAGCAUUGUUAAGCGACUCAAGGACUCGGAUUCUGUUGUGAGGGAUGCUUGUGUGGAAACAAUGGGAGUUUUGGCUUCGAAAUUGAGUAAUCAUGGGGAUGAGAGUGAUGAUGGGGUAUUUGUAGCAUUAGUGAGGCCAGUGUUUGAAGCUUUAGGUGAACAUAAUAAGCAGGUGCAGACUGGUGCAGCUUUGUGCUUGGCAAGGGUUAUUGACAAUAGCCAUGAUCCUUCAGUUUCAAUUUUGCAGUGAAUGUUGACUCGAAUCAUAAAGUUGCUUAAGAAUCCACAUUUUACGGCAAAACCAGCAGUUAUUGAGUUGAAUAGAAGUAUCAUUCAGGUCAGUUUUUAAACUGAAGGGUGGGUUGCCUUUGAUUUUGUGCAUUGUCUCUCUAUGCUUUUGAAUGUCCUGGUGAAUCACUUUAUGCUUUCAAUGCCCUGGUGAAUCACUUUAUGGUCACACAUAUUAUUGUGAUUUAAUUUCAACAAAAUUAAAUUAAUAUGAUACGUACCCUCGAGGCCUAGUUCAAUUAGUUUCAAGUAUCCUCCAGGCUGAAGCAAUUCACCAACGAUUCUGUCAGGCUGCGUCAUAUCUCUUUCUAUCACAUGAACUCGCCUUCCAUCCUGCAUAUAUUUUUUUCAAUUGAUUAUUACUAAGGUGGCGUUUGUUUUUUUGUCUGAAAUCUGAAUAGAUCUGAAUUAGUCUGAAUUCUGAAUAGGUCUGAAUGUCUGAAUCUGAAUAAUAUGUUUGUUUUUUCGUCGGAAUCUCAGAAAAUAAGUAUUAAGUUGUUUGUUUUUUUCAACUUAAAAAGCUGAAAAUAUGUACUUUUACAUUUGUAUCCUUAUUAAAUUUGAAUGUCAAAUAAAUAAUAUAUUAAAUACCACAAUAUUUUAACAUUUAUAAGUAAAACUAUAUUCAAGUGAAUAUAUAAUUAUUUUAGAAUUUUAAUACAUAAAAUACCAUAAAUUUCAAAUUUUAUCGUAUAUAAUAUAAGAAAUAAAAAAACAGGGAUAUUUUUAUGUGGGGUAAAUAUCUAUGGGUGAGUUUUGGGAUAGACAUAAAAAAUAAAUUAUAAAACAAGGAUAUUUUUGACAUUAGCAAGUAAUUGACUUAAUUUAGAUUCCUCCAUUAAGUAAAAAGUCAAAAAAAUUAGCUUAUUUUAUUAAGUCAAAAUUAUCUAAAUAGUCUCAUUAAGUUAUAAAAACAAACACCUCUAAUUAACUUAAUUAAUUAAGUUAAGUCACUUUAAGUCAUUAAGUUAAAAAACAAACGCCACCUAAGUCAUCAAGUGACUCGAGAUAAACAUCCAAAAAAAAAUGAAAAUAAAAUUUUACGUACCGUGCCAAGGGUAUGAGCCAGGGCAGCACCAGCGACACCAGCACCAACAAUGAUGACAUCAGGUCCGGAAACACUCUCCGGUGAGGAAUGUCGUGUUGGGAAAAUAUGUUCUUUAAAAACAUAUGUGUUUAUUUAAUUAUAAUAUAUUUUUUUUAUUAAUAAAAUUAAUGAGGUAUUUUAUUCAAAUAUCUUAAUUGCAUUAAUAUUUUUAUUAAAGUCCAUUUAAUCAUAUUAUAUGUAUUUAUGUGAUCACCAUGUGGAUUCACAGAAGACAUAAAUACAAGUUAUCUUAUGAUUAAAUAAAUUUAGUUUGCAGUUGAUAAAUAAAGUUGGGCACUUUAUUUAGGUAUAGACUGUAAUAAAUUCAUUGAAUGAUUUGUCUUAAUCAUGUAUGAAUUUAUUGAUGUAGUACGACUACAUUGAACAUGAUCACAUAUGAGAUUUAAUUAACUUUGUAAUAACUGUCAGACUUAUUAAAUCUCAUAGGCAUUGAUUUUACUGUAAUCUUAAUCUUGAGUUAAUUAUGAUUUCAUGAUUGUAAUUGUUAUUCCAUUUGAGUUACUAAUGGGUAUGACACAUACUUGUAGUCUAGUAUACCCGGUAUCUUGGUGGGAGCAUUUAUGAGUAUUGAAGUUAUAGAUUAACAAUAUAGAAUUUGUACAACACAUCUCUUGAUGGGUUUUUAGCACUUGAUCAUAGAAUUCUCUGACCAGAGUGUGUCAACAUAUUUAGUAUGUUGAAAAUGAUCAUUAGAGAAAAUCAGUAAGGAUUAAAGAAUAAGAUGUUAUUAAAUUGAUUGGACAGUUGAGAUAUUAAUUUAAUUAACGAUGUGGUACAAAGAAUUGUGCAGUAAAGAAAUCAAUGUGACUUGGGAUGCCACUAUUGUAUGUUCUCAAAUGAUCCCCGGGUUAGCUCAUUUAAUUGACUGCACCACUACUGGACUAAUAAGCAAGAUAACUAGCUAUUUGGGUCAAAAGCCUAAAUAUAUCAUUUAGUGGGAGGCUCUAUUUAAUUAGCUUAUGUGUAAGGGGCCUUAUGUUAUUUUACAUGGUGGGUCCCCUAUUAAAUGAAAAGUAACGUGAAUUUUAUUUUGGACAUUAUUUGGAGCCUAGGAUUUUCACUAAAGGAAGAUAUAUAAGGCUUAUUUUCUCUAAAGAAAAAGAGUAAAGCCACUUUAUACAGAUCAGAGAAUAAGAUUUUUCUCUCUAUUUUUUAGAGAAAAUUUUUCUCAUGCUAGUUACUUUGGUAGUGAUAAAGGCGCCCACACGUCAAGUGCAGAUCGAACCUGAGUCAUAACCUGGAAGAUCAUUGGUGACAGUUUGUGAUCUAACAAGCGUGGUGGUGACGGAACGUGAUCUAACAGGGGUGUUGACGGAACGUGAUCUAACAGGAGUGGUGGUGUCGGAUCGUGAUCUAGGAGCCUAAAUCACUCCAGCAGAAAAAGCCAACUCGAAUUUUCAAGGUACGAUUUCUAGAAAACAAAUUCUUAUAUAUUAUAUGAGAGCGAUCUUCAAAAGGUUUUAUAAAAAAUUUAAAAACUUAAUUUUUCCCCAACAAUUGGUAUCAGAGCUAUCUCAUAUUAAUAUAUAAGAAUUUCGUAUGAAAUUAAUCUUGAAAUUUAUGUAUUAGAGUGACACAUUUUAUUCAAAUAUAUAUUAUUUGUUUAAUAUAUGAAUAAAACAUGUUAUGGUUUGUCUUAAUUCAUGGUUAGAUUUUACUAUGUAUUUUUUCUUUGGAUCUGUAACAAGAGGGGUGGUUUUUCAUCACCAUAUUUUCCUCUUGAUUUAUUUUACUAUUAUAGAAUUUUUGUAAGCCAAGAUUGACUAGGAAAUUUGUAAAUUAAUUACUGGUAAAUUGCGAAAACUUGCUGGAAACUGCGGCAACGAACCAACAGCAAACAGCGCGCGGCCAGCAGCACAUGCUGCCAGCAAGCGCACGUUGUACGCGCAGCGGCCUGUAGCGCAGCGGCCUGUAGCGCGCGGCUCGCAGCACACGCUGCCAACAGCGCGGGCUGCCAGCCAGCAGCCACGCACAGCAGUAGCACGCGACCAGCAGCGCUGCCAACAACGUGAGCGCGCGCAUCGGGGAUGGAAACUUGUAGGCGGUUGCUGCUAGCGGAGGAUGUCGUUUGGUAGUUUUCCCGUACGGCGGUGAUGGUCAAAUCGACCUCUGAAAAUCAUGAACAACGACUGGGUUUUUUGGAGAUGGCGGCUGGGGAAGAGAGAAAGAAAAAUAUGGAUUUAAGGGUUUCAUGGUUUUUAUCUUGGAGAUCCUUAUGGUUCCACAAUUUUUCAUUCGGGCAGAACAUUUUUAAUUUUUUGCGUUUAAAUCUAAAAACAGUUUUGGGUUUAAUGAAUCUUAGUUUUAGGCCCAAUUUCAAUUGGGCUUAAUGGAUUAAAAUGCAUAGACAAAAUUAAAUACAUCAAAUUUAUUUUUGGUCCAAAAGUUUUAUUUUAAUAAACAAAUUUUAAUUAUUUAUUUAUUUCCUUUCAAAAUUAAAAUUGCUGUUUGAAAUUUGCACAUGCUUAAUAAUAUUUGAUAUCAUCUAGAUAAUAUUAUAGGAAGCAUGCAAUUAACAAUAUGUAUGUUUUAAAAAGGAAAAACCAAUUUUAAAAUAUUGAGUGGGAGAGGGAAAAUUCAAGAUAAUUUUCCCACGGGCUCCAUUGUUAGUUCAAUAAUAAAAUUAUAUAUAUACCUCGACUUCAUGAUACGGUGAUGCUCCCUUCGGAGGGUAUAUAUAUUAGAUAUUUUAUUUGAUGAACUUCUUCAAAGAUAAAAUUGAAAUAUUUUUUAAUCGAUUGUUCACCCCAACGGUGACUAUUGAUAUGAAAAAUAUCUAGAUUGAAACAAUGGUUAUACACUCAACUAAAAUUUGUUAUUAACCUUCCCAACGAAGCUCUAUUAACAAAUUUAGGCCCAAAAAGGAUAACGAUAAUUAUUUAUCAUGUCUCUACAUGAAAGUAAAUAAUCCAAUGGGUAAUUGGGUCUAGUAAGUAUAGACAUGACUUCCCUACCGAAUAGUUUGUCAAAGAGGAAUUAGAUUAUCGUUACAAUAAAUUAAAAUGCAUUUAUGGUUUUNNNNNNNNNNNNNNNNNNNNNNNNNNNNNNNNNNNNNNNNNNNNNNNNNNNNNNNNNNNNNNNNNNNNNNNNNNNNNNNNNNNNNNNNNNNNNNNNNNNNNNNNNNNNNNNNNNNNNNNNNNNNNNNNNNNNNNNNNNNNNNNNNNNNNNNNNNNNNNNNNNNNNNNNNNNNNNNNNNNNNNNNNNNNNNNNNNNNNNNNNNNNNNNNNNNNNNNNNNNNNNNNNNNNNNNNNNNNNNNNNNNNNNNNNNNNNNNNNNNNNNNNNNNNNNNNNNNNNNNNNNNNNNNNNNNNNNNNNNNNNNNNNNNNNNNNNNNNNNNNNNNNNNNNNNNNNNNNNNNNNNNNNNNNNNNNNNNNNNNNNNNNNNNNNNNNNNNNNNNNNNNNNNNNNNNNNNNNNNNNNNNNNNNNNNNNNNNNNNNNNNNNNNNNNNNNNNNNNNNNNNNNNNNNNNNNNNNNNNNNNNNNNNNNNNNNNNNNNNNNNNNNNNNNNNNNNNNNNNNNNNNNNNNNNNNNNNNNNNNNNNNNNNNNNNNNNNNNNUUUUAGCCUCGAUUUCUAAUAUUCUGCAGACCAAACAUCAGAACUUGGAGACUGCCACUGAAAUAAUGGAUAGUCUCCAACAGAUGUUCGGGCAGAGUACUCGCUCUGCGAGACAAGCAGCGCUGAAAGGAAUUAUGAAUAGUAAAAUGGGGAAGGGCACAAGAGUUCGUGAUCAUAUCCUCAAAAUGAUGGACUAUUUGAAUGAGACUGAGAUUCAGGAAGCACAAAUCGAUGAUGACUCAAAGAUUGACAUGGUGCUAAAAUCUCUGCUAGAAACAUUCAAGGAGUUUAAGGUCAAUUAUAACAUGAAAAAAAGAAACAUGACAUUAACUGAAUUGAUGAACGAACUCCAUUCUGCUAAAGAGAUCUAUCGUGCUGAGAAAUCUCUGGGAAGCAUAAAUAUUACUGAAAAAAGUUCAUCUUCUGGGCCUAAGCUGAAAGGCAAAGGUAAGAACAAAGCUGGGAAAAAGAGACAGUCUACCAAGCAAGAUGACAAGCAGAAAGGCAAAUGCUUCAAGUGUGGACAAAAAGGUCACUGGAAAGAGGAUUGCCCUAAGAUUUUGAAAUCAAGUAUGGGAAAUUUUUUUGUAUUUGAGCCCUGUUUAGUUCAGAAUCCUAUUGACACUUGAGUGUUGGAUUUAGGAGCAAUUAAUCAUAUUUGUAUAUCACUUUAUUGGUUUCGAAAAACCAGGAAAAUAAGUGAAGGAAGCGUCAAGCUGCAGUUAGGGACAUGACAAUUCGUGUCAGCAGUGAAGACUUGAUCUGUUUUAUUAUCUUUUAAUAAUGAGACUUUAGUUUUGAAUAAUUGUCUUUAUGUUCCAGACAUUAAGAGGAAUUUAAUUUCAGUAGUUUGUUUGUCAAAGCAAUGGUACACUGUAAAUUUUGGAUCCUCUGUUUCUAUUUUUCAUAAUAAGAGACUUAUUUGUUUUGGUGCAUUGGAAGAUAAUUUAUAUCAUUUAAGUCCAAUGAUCCAUUAUAUGCAUGACACAAUGAUCAAUAAUGAUGAGCAUACACAUUUAUCUAAGAAAAGAAAUAUUUCUUCCAACCAAUGUUACAUCUGGCAUUUACGCUUGGGUCAUAUAAACCAAAAUAGGAUACAAAGAAUGAUCAAAGAUGGGCUCUUUGGUCCAUUAGAAAAUGAAUCAUAGCCACUCUAUGAAUUCUGUUUAAAAAAGAAAAUGACCAAAAUGCCAUUCUCAAAAAAAGCAAUUAGAUAAGAACAUAAAGACACUUCGAUCUGAUCGAGGUGGUGAAUUUCUCUCAGGAGAUUUCAAAGAGUAUCUGGUUGAAAAUAAGAUUAUAUCUCAGUUGAUUGCCCCGAGAACACCACAACAAAAUGGGGUAGCUGAAAGAAGAAAUAGAACUCUUUUGGAUAUGGUGAGAUCUAUGCUUAGUUAUUCGUCAUUACCAAUCUCUUUUUGGGGACUAGCACUGGAAACUGCAGUUUACCUCUUGAACUUAGUUCCAUUCAAGUCAGUGCCUAAAACCCCAAUAGAAUUAUGGUCAGGUCACAAACCAAGUUUACGACAUGUCCGUAUUUGGGGAUCACCAGCACAUGUGCUGAAACCAAAGGCAGACAAAAUGGAUUCACGUUCUGAGGUUUGUAUGUUUGUGGGGUAUCCCAAAGGAACAAGGGGAGGUUUAUUUUAUAGUUCUCAAGAUAGGAAAGUGAUCGUGAGCAUACAUUUCACUUCCCUCGAUGAAGACUAUAUGAAUAACUUCAAACCUAAGAGUAAGGUAAUACUUGAAGAACUAUCAGGUCAUCAGGUCGAUGUUCAGCUUUCAACGCCUGUUACAGAACAGAAAGAACAACAACAACAACCAGAUGAUCAACACAGGAUUAACCGUGAACAACCAUCACUUUUAGAAUCUCGUCGUUGUGGGAUGGUAACUAGGUUACCUGCGAGAUACAUGCUUUUAGGAGAAACCUAUACGGCUAUCUCAGAUGAACAUGUACAAGAUCCCACUAGUUACAACGAAGCUUUAAUAGAUAGAGAUGUUGAAUUUUGGAAAAAGGUCAUGAAUCAAGAAAUGGAAUCUAUGUAUUCCAAUAAAGUCUGGGAACUUGUAGAGGCACCAAAUGGGGUAAAACCUAUAGGGUGCAAGUGGAUCUACAAGAGAAAAAGAGGAGUAGACGGAAGGGUGGAAACAUUUAAAGCAAGAUUAGUAGCCAAAAGAUUUACUCAGAAAGAGAGAAUCGAUUAUGAGGAAACAUUUUCUCCGAUUGCUAUGCUUAAAUCUAUCAGGAUUUUGCUCUCCAUUGUUGUAGUGCUAGAUUAUGAAAUUUGGCAAAUGGAUGUCAAGACUGCCUUUCUCAACGGGCAUCUUGAAGAAAACAUCUACAUGCAGCAACCAGAUGGAUUUAUACAAAAAGGCCAAGAACACAUGGUAUGUAAGUUACAGAGAUCCAUUUAUGGAUUGAAGCAAGCAUCCCGGUCAUGGAACAUCAGAUUUGAUCAAGCGAUUAAAUCGUUUAAAUUCAUUCAGAACAUUGUGAACCAUGUGUGUACAAGAAAAUUCAGGGAAAAUUUGUAGCCUUCCUAGUUCUUUGUGUAGACAAUAUUCUCCUGAUUGGAAACGAUAUAGGAGUAUUGACUACAAUAAAGAUUUGGUUAGCAAAAUAAUUUGAUAUGAAAGACCUGGGGGAGGUAAGUUAUAUUCUUGGUAUCAAGUUACUACGAGACCGGAAAAAUAAAACUUUAGCUUUGUCUCAAGCGGACUAUAUCGAUAAGAUAUUGGCUAGAUUUAGCAUGGAAAAUUCCAAGACUGGUUUAUUACCUUUCAGACGUGGAAUUACAUUCUCUAAGGAUCAAUCACCUAAAACAUCUGAAGAGAUAGAGAGAAUGAGACGAGUUCCCUAUGCAGAAGCUGUGGGAAGUCUUAUGUAUGUCAUGCUUUGUACUAGGCCGAUUCCAGAAAAUCAACUUCCGGCUAUGUGUUUACAUUGGGAAGUGGAGCUAUUAGUUGGAGGAGUGUGAAACAAUCUUGUAUCGCAGACUCCACAACUGAAGCUGAAUAUGUGGCUGCAUUCGAAGCUGCAAAAGAAGCUGUAUGGCUCCGUAAGUUCCUAUAAGAUCUUGAGGUGGUACCUAUUAAAAAACAUAUUGAGAGGAAGUAUCAUCUUAUAAGGGAUAUAGUGCAGAGAGGUGAUGUGGAGGUUACUCAGAUUGCGUCAUAGCAAAACUUGGCAGAUCCUUUUACUAAGGCCAUACCUGGGAAACCUUUUAACUUGCACUUAGAAUCCAUGGGCAUGCGUGAGAUGCUAAAUAUGCUUUGAGAGCUAGUGAGAGAUUGUUGGGAAAAUAUACUUUUUAAAAGCAUAUGUGUUUAUUUAAUUAUAAUAAACAUUUUUUCUGAUUAAUAAAAUUAAUGAGGUAUUUUAUUCAAAUAUCUUAAUUGCAUUAAUAUUUUUAUUAAAGUCAAUUUAAUCAUAUUAUAUGUAUUUAUGUGAUCACCAUGUGCAGAAGAUAUAAAUACAAGUUAUCUUAUGAUUAAAUAAAUUUAGUUCGCAGUUGAUAAAUGAAGUUGGGCACUUUAUUUAGGUAUAGACUGUACUAAAUUCAUUGAAUGAUUUGUCUUAAUCAUGUAUGAAUUUAUUCAUGUAGUACGACUACAUUGAACAGGAUCACAUAUGGGAUUUAAUUAACUUUGUAAUAACUGUCAGACUUAUUAAAUCUCAUAGGCGUUGAUUUUACUGUAAUCUUAAUCUUGAGUUAAUUAUGAUUUCAUGAUUGUGAUUGUUAUUUCAUUUGAGUUACCAAUGGGCACGACACAUCCUUGUGGUCAAGAUUACUCGGUAUCUUGGUGGGAGCAAUUAUGAGUAUUGGAGUUAUGGAUUAACAAUAUAGAAUUUGUACAACACAUCUCUUGAUAGGUUUUCGGUACUUGAUCAUAGAAUUCUCUGGCCAGAGUGUGUCAACAUAUUUAGUAUGUUGAAAAUGAUCAUUAGAGAAAACCAGUAAGGAUCAAGGAAUAAGAUGUUAUUAAAUUGAUUGGACAGUUGAGAUAUCAAUUUAAUUAACGAUGUGGUACAAAGGAUUAUGCAGUAAAGAAAUCAAUGUGGCUUGGGAUGAAUUAUUAUUCGAGCAUACAAUUAUGGAGGUCAAUUCCAAUCUUUUAGUUGAGUAUAUUUGGAAUUAAAUAAUUAGGCUAGUUUAAUUACAUGUCUAAUUUUUAUAGCCAUUAUUGUAUGUUCCCAAAUGAUCCCCGGGUUAGCUCAUUUAAUUGACUGCACCACUACUGGACUAAUAAACAAGAUAACUAGCUAUUUGGGUCAAAAGCCUAAAUAUAUCAUUUAGUGGGAGGAUUCAUUUAAUUAGCUUAUGUGUAAGGGGCCUUAUGUUAUUUUACAUGGUGGGUCCCCUAUUAAAUGAAAAGUAACGUGAGUUUUAUUUUGGGCAUUAUUUGGAGCCUAGGGUUUUCACUAAAGGGAGAUAUAUAAGGCUUAUUCUCUCUAAAGAAAAAGAGUGAAGCCACUUUAUACAGAUCAGAGAAUAAGAUUUUUCUCUCUAUUGUUGAGAGAAAAAUUCUCUCGUGCUAGCUGCUUUGGUAGUGAUAAAGGCGCCCACACGUCAAGUGCAGAUCGAACCUGAGUCAUAACCUGAAAGAUCAUUUGUGACAGUUCGUGAUCUAACAAGCGUGAUGGUGAUGGAUCGUGAUCUAAGAGCCUAAAUCACUUCAGCGGAAAAAGCCAACUCGGAUUUUCAAGGUACAAUUUUUAGAAUACAAAUUCUUAUAUAUUAUAUGAGAGCGAUCCUCAACAAAUUUUAUAAAAAAUUUAAAAUCUUAUUUUUUCCCCAACAAUAUGUUGGUCUCUGCAAAUUAAUUAUUAGUAUCCCUAAUUAGUCUUUUCUUAACAAGCAGCUGGCUAAUUGAUAGUAUCGAUUUGACUUGUCUCAACAGGUUGAAAUACCAUCAUGUUUUGUCGGUAUGGUAUUAGCGAACUGUCAGCUUCCAGUCCCAAAUCACGGGCACGUAGUUUUAGCAGAUCCUUCACCCAUCUUGUUUUACCCAAUUAGUAGCACAGAAGUGAGGUGCUUGGUUGAUGUUCCCGGUCAGAAAUUACCUUCAGUUGCCAAUGGUGAAAUGACAAAAUAUUUGAAGACCAAAGUAGCACCGCAGGUGCAUCUUUAUGUUACUAAAUGUUUUAUAUUUAUACAUAUAAUUUUUUUUUCCAAAAAAAUGUAUACAUAAGGAAUCCCAUAUUAAUUAUGAACUUGGUGUUUAUUUCAGGUACCAAUUGAGUUUCGUGAUGCAUUCAUUUCUACAGUUGGAAAAGGCAACAUUAGAACAAUGACAAACAAAAGUAUGCCGGCUGUCCCGAAGCCUACACCCGGAGUGGUACAAAGGAUUAUGCAGUAAAGAAAUCAAUGUGGCUUGGGAUGAAUUAUUAUUCGAGCAUACAAUUAUGGAGGUCAAUUCCAAUCUUUUAGUUGAGUAUAUUUGGAAUUAAAUAAUUAGGCUAGUUUAAUUACAUGUGAAAUCUCCAUACCCACUGGGGAAAUUUCAGGCCAAUGUCGCCGGCAGGAGCUUUCACAAUGGCCGGUUCAUUCAAAGAAUGAGAGAAAAAGCUGCUUCUCUUCCGAAGUACGUACACAUUUUCGCAUUGAUUACGUUAAAAUUGUCUGGAGUAAAUUAAAGAUAAAAAGUUCGUCAACUCCAAUGCAUUGAUUGGUCCAGAUUUCAACAAAAGAGAAAAGCAUGCAUAUAUUAAUUAAUUUCUUUAAUUUGCGCUUUGCUUUGACUGAUUGUUACAUGAUCAUGAUGAUUAAUUGUUCAAUUCCAAAGUACAAAUCAAUCAAUUAAUUAAUUAAUUAACAUUUGACAAUUUAAUGAUCAAUUCAGUGUACGGAUGGAGGAAGGGACAGUGACAUCACUGUUUGAAGAAAAUGGAAUCGUAAAAGGAAUUCAUUACAAAACUAAGGACGGUCAAGAGCAUAAAUCUUGUGCUCCUCUUACGAUUGUAUGUGACGGUGGCUUCUCCAAUUUGCGCCGGUCUCUUUGUAACCCAAAGGUGGAAAUUUCUAUCUUAUUUUUUAAUUAGUUAUAUGUUGGUCUCUGCAAAUUAAUUAUUAGUAUCCCUAAUUAGUCUUUUCUUAACAAGCAGCUGGCUAAUUGAUAGUAUCGAUUUGACUUGUCUCAACAGGUUGAAAUACCAUCAUGUUUUGUCGGUAUGGUAUUAGCGAACUGUCAGCUUCCAGUCCCAAAUCACGGGCACGUAGUUUUAGCAGAUCCUUCACCCAUCUUGUUUUACCCAAUUAGUAGCACAGAAGUGAGGUGCUUGGUUGAUGUUCCCGGUCAGAAAUUACCUUCAGUUGCCAAUGGUGAAAUGACAAAAUAUUUGAAGACCAAAGUAGCACCGCAGGUGCAUCUUUAUGUUACUAAAUGUUUUAUAUUUAUACAUAUAAUUUUUUUUUCCAAAAAAAUGUAUACAUAAGGAAUCCCAUAUUAAUUAUGAACUUGGUGUUUAUUUCAGGUACCAAUUGAGUUUCGUGAUGCAUUCAUUUCUACAGUUGGAAAAGGCAACAUUAGAACAAUGACAAACAAAAGUAUGCCGGCUGUCCCGAAGCCUACACCCGGAGCCCUUUUGCUGGGAGAUGCGUUCAACAUGCGCCAUCCUUUAACUGGUGGUGGAAUGACCGUGGCUCUCUCUGACAUCGUCGUGCUUAGAAAUCUUAUUAAGCCUCUGCAUAAUUUUCAUGAUGCCGCUUCUCUUAACAAGUACCUCGAAUCCUUUUACGUCUUACGCAAGGUAAACGUCAAAUUUAAUCACUUGGUAUCAAGUAUAACGGCACGAAGUUAGUGAUAAUAUUAACUACUAAGAAAAGUUACUACAAACAUACUAUAAAAUUUAAUUUGCGCCCGAAAAUAAAAUUGUUUUUCUUUCAUGCACGCAGCCGGUGGCAUCUACAAUAAACACUCUGGCAAAUUCUGUUUACCAGUGUUUUCAGCAUCAUCAGAUGAAGCAAGAGAGAUGAUGCGGCAAGCAAGUGUUGAUUAUUUAGGGCGUGGAGGAAUUUACACAUCGGGGGCAAUGGCUCUACUCUCAGGCCUAAACCCUCGCCCAUCAAGCUUAAUUUUCCAUUUCUUAGCAAUGGCAGUAUUUGGUGUUGGCCGUUUGUUACUACCAUUUCCGUCGCCUAAACGCUUGUGGAUUGGUGCUAAGCUAAUUUGGGUACGUGCAUUUUCUAUCAUCAAAAUUCUCAUCUGGCGCGGAUAUCUGUAUUUUACAAAAUAUUAAUUGGAGUAAACAUAAAGUGAUACUAUAUUAGUAUUACCACAAUUUGUAUUUUGUAAAGUGCAAAUAUUUGUAGGAGAGAAGUAAUUUUUUAUCCGGACAUUUCUUUUCAAUUAAUGAUUUAAAUAAUCGUUUGGAUUGGUUCAUAAAAAAAUUUUCAUAUUCUUACAGGGUGCUUCGGAAAUUCUUUUUCCCAUCAUCAAAGCGGAGGGAGUCAGGCAAAUGUUUUUCCCUGCCACUGUUCCGGCGUUGUAUAGAGCUCCUCCUGUUUAUCGACAUUAAUGUCUCUUAAUCGUGUUUUGUUGCUAUCAAUUACGUGUCCAUAAAGUGAUUAAGGGUGUGUUACUUGAGAUUUUUAGGAGGGGUGCUCUUUAAUUAUCUCAAGCGUAAUUCUUUAAUUUGUAAAAUUACUUUUUUGUAUUCGAUCAAUUAAAAAAAAUUAUAAUCGUUGUCGUUAUUUUUUAAUUUGUGACAAUCUAAAUCGAUCGGAUGCACAUCAUGCAUAUAAUGAAGAACUUCAUUAAUUGUUUCCAGCGUAUCCUUAUGUUGAAGUCUCAUGAAUUUGUAAAACAACUUGCUAAAAUUUAAAUGAUCAUUUCUAGGAAUCACAUGAAGAUCCUUUUUAAUCAUGGCAUUUUGACAUGGGAUGUAAAUAUAUAUGACAGGAAUCAAUUUUAUUAUGUGAUAUAUAUUAUAACCAUCAAGACCCUUAGAUGGUGCUUGUAUGAUAAGAAUCAAGAAGAUAUAGCAUGCACAUGCACAUGUAUGCCAAGAAUUAUAACUAUUAUGUACAAAAAUAUGGCAAAAAUCUUGAUCAUUUUGUAAACAUGGAAAGUGAUCAUUCCCCAAAGUAGAUGGGACCAAAUUUUCUUAUCCUCCUUUCUAUAUUUUAUUUUAGAGGAUAUUUAGGUAGGAUAAUAUGACUACAAAAAAGUGAAUCAUCAUCAAUUGAUCAAUCUAAAACUUGUAGUUCUAUUAGAGAUCACUUUUAUUUAUUUAUUUAUUUUUUAAUGAAUCUCAAUAAUAAUAUUUUUUCGCUUAUUAAGACUUAAACCAAAAUAGAGUCUCAGUAUGUGAACGGUUUAAAAACACUAAUAGUGAAAAUCCCAAGAAUUGAAUGGUAUCAAUUUUAUUUAAAUUUACAUAGACUCACAAAUAGCUUGCUCUAGUAUAUAUAGACUAGCUACCUAUUAUAACAAUAAAAUAAGAGUAGUGCUAGGUGUAGAGAAAGAUGAGAAAUAUUUGUCUUCUCUCUCUCUACCCACCCACUCUCUUUCUUCUUUUUUCUUCUUUAUUUCUCUCAUCUUUCUUUACACCAAGUAUUUCCCAUAAAAUAAUACUUUUUUUUAGCGGUGAAUGGCUACUGCAACGUUACCAUAUUAAAUAGAAUUUAAAGUUGACACAAAAGUAUUGUGAAUUACUUAAAAUGUAAAUAUUGACAAUCCUAGGAAUUGAACAAUAUCAAUUUUAUUCAGAGUCACUUUAAGUUAUGUUUAUUGUAACUUAUAGCUAAGUAAAAUUCACUCACAAGCCCAUCAGACUCCACUACUGUAUUACUCAUUUUUACACUAAAAAAAUUUGAUUGUAAGUUAAAAUACAUGUAACUUAGAAAAAUCUUUUUAUUGUUUAGAAAAAAUUGAAGUAACCCUUUCAUUCAUUUGAGAUAAUAAUAAUAAAAAAAACAAAUACAAUAUAUUAGCUGGGAAUCCAUCCAGCCAUAUGACAUAUUUCGAGCUUCUAAAAGCUCUUUUAGUGAGAGAGUGAGCAAGAAUAUUACAAUGCUUUGGUACAUGUUGGACUAUUGCCGAUUGAAAAUUUUAUUUACUUCUUUGAAUCUAUGAUAUAGUCCACCAAAUUUCUGUUCUAUUGUUGGUUUUGUUGUUGGUUAAGUCAGCCAAUUCACUGCAAUUUGUUUCAAAAAUCACAUCUGUGAGGCUUGCCUCUUUUGCCACCUCUAUCCCCUAUUUGACAGCUUGAGUUUCUACAAGAGAAAUAUUCCCUUGAAAUUUUAUGUUUUCAUUGCUGCAACUAUCACUUGGCCUAGUGAGUUCCCUUAAACCUACAACUUGCUUAUCUUUAUGGACAACAACAUCAACAUUGACUUUUAAGCAAUUGAUAGGUAGUGGACUCUAUUCUCGCAGUUUUCUAUCUUCUUUGCUUUUUUUUUUUGCAAUUUUGUUCCUUCACCUUCACUUUUUGAUAAGCAUCCAUUGUUGGAUUUUUAAUUUAGCAUUGUUGGAUUUUUAAUCCAACAUCAGGCUUAUAUGUGAAUAAUUAUGUAUUGCAAACUGUUAUAUAAGUUUAAGCCUAGUUAAAAGUGAUCUAUUAAGGUGUUUGGUAUUAUGGCCUUUAAUGUAUCUAACGGGUGUGGGCCUUUAAUGUGUAGAGACCUAAUUGUAUUCUAAUUCUAUGAUGGACAGAAUUAGGAAUACCUAAUGACAACAGGAAAAGGUUGUCUAUAUAAGUGGUUAUGAUCCUUAAGUCACGUAUAUCAUUCUAUUCUCUACUGACAUACCAUCAUUAGAGAGACAGUGCAUAUGAUAUCAAAGGAUUCACUAGGAGAACGUGUUGAUCUAGAAGGCCAACCACACAAUCCUAAAGAGCAAUUUAGUGUUAUGGAUUCAUGUAUGUUUUUGCAUAAUUUGUUAUUGAUUUUUGUUGGUACAACAUGAAUGUUCAUGGGUUGUAGGUAAUGGUUUUUAUCAAUUUUUUUUUGGUUCUAACAUCCAUGACUGUUUUACCCUUAGUAGAUGAAAACAUGGGGUUUGGUUUCUUCCCUCAAAGACGAGUUUGUUCCUUGCAUGCCCCGUAAAUCACCAUAUAGCUGCUACAAAAUCAAGCUCAAUCUUGGCCAGCGUACCCACUAAUCUGUGCAUAACACUCAACAUAUCUUAUCUAGUAACUCCCUUAGUUUCAGCCUCCAAGUGAGUGCAUUUCCAGAUAGAAAAAUCCUUUUAUUUAUAAAUACAUAGAUUCGCAAAUAGUUCGUUGUUUUGGUGGUAUUUUCACAAUCAUAAAGACUUGAACUCGACGGUAAUUAUAACUUAUUUUGUCAUGGCCGUGGUCCUUUGUCGUCAAGCAACAAGGAGAAUAAAGGGUACAAAUAUAUAUACAAUACGAUACUCGUUCUCAAUAUUCCAUAUAUCAACUUUUAUUAAUUUUAAUAAAGGAAAGUUUUGCUUUAUUCCUUAAGGGUUUGGUAAUUCUUGUAUUUUAUAAGUUUCCUAAAAUGUUUUCUUGUGUAUCUAUUUUUAAUAUUUAAAAUAUACUUAAUUAUUUUCUACUUUUCACCUGUAGCAUAUUAAAUUUGUUCUUAAAAAAUUAGAUCAAACAGUGAUAGAAAGAACAAUCUUGAUAUUUUGAAAUGAAAAUAUAAGGACUAAUAGAAUAAUUGACCCAAACGCUAAGGAUUAUAGCAAAAUUUAUCUUUUAAUAAUUUUUAAGUGUACAAGCCGGUUUUCUUAUUAGUUUAUUUUAUGUGAAAAAAAUAUAGUGUGGAUCUGUUUGUGCACCUGGCUGAUUCUAAACAUACUAUAAAAGUCUGCGAGCUUAAUUCUUACUUAAAAGUAUGCUCAUAAAUUUAAAAUGGGCUUGAAUCUAUAUUUUUCACAAUUAAUUUUUUUACGAUUCUUAAAUGGGAAAUUAUCAUUGCACCACCUUUAUUUUACCUUAUGUUCAUCCAACCACUACAAAAUUUUAACAUGUACUUUGCACCACCUUUUUUUCACAUUUGUAUCAACUAGCCACUUUUGCAUUAACACUAUUAAAUAAUUUUAAUAAAAUAACAAAUUUACCCCCAAAUAAAUUAAAAGACUAUUUUAUCUUAUAAAAACUUUUAAAAUUAAAAAUUAUAAUCAUAAAAAAUAUGCGUAAUUUUUAAAAACCUCCCCUGAGGUUUGGGCUUGUUGCAAAUAGAUGGCGAGAAUUGAUUUAUUUGUAAAAAACCCCCUACCUUCAGUUAAGUUUAACAUUGACCGUUAGUUGACCAUGCAAAGACAAUAUUACCCUUAACAAUAGUUUGUAAACGAAAAUAACUAAAAAAAAACCAAAAUUAUUGGUGCAAAAAGCACAAACCCUAUUUUUUGACAAUUUUAUCCUUGUCAAUUCUAAAAAUUUACAAUAUCAUAGGUAAAGAUUAUGACUAUUUCAUUUUUAAAUUUUUAAUUUUAUCUUUCUUGUAGGAAUUUUAAGGAAAUAUCAAUAAUUUAAAGAGGAUUUUUUAAUUUUUUAAUUUUAACUUUUUUAUAGAAACUUUAAGAAAAUAUCAAUAAUUUAAAAAGUGUAAAAUAGCUAAUAAUUUUGAUUUUUUUUAGUUAUUUUCGUUUAUAAACUAUUGUUAAGGGUAAUAUUGUCUUUGCACGGUCAACUAACGGUCAAUGUUAAACUUAACUGACGGUAGGAGAUUUUUUACAAAUAAAUCAAUUCUCGCCAUCUACUUGCAACAAGCACAAACCUCAGGGGAGGUUUUUAAAAAUUACCCAAUAAAUCAAUUCUCGUCAUCUAUUUGCAACAAGCCCAAACCUCAGGGGAAGUUUUUAAAAAUUACCCUUUUAGUAAACUCUAAAGUGAAGUAACUAAUUAACGAUUAUUUUUAUAAUUAUAAUUUUAUAUUAAAAUAAUUUUUAUUAAAAAUAAAAAUUCUAAUUUUGGGAUUUAUUUUUAUUAAAUUUAGGGAUAUUUUUAUCAUUAUAUUUUAUUAUUUUUAAAUUUUUUAUAAAAUAAAAUGGUCUUUUAAUUUAUUUGGGAGUAAAAUUAUCAUUUUAUUAAAAUUAUUUAAUAGUGUUAAUGCAAAAGUGGUUAGUUGAUACAAAUGUGAAAAAAAAGGUAGUGUAAAAUACAUAUUAAAAUUUGGUAGUGAUUAGAUGAAUAUAAGGCAAAAUAAAAGUGGUGUAAUGAUAAUUUUGAUGUAAAAUUUUGUAUUAAUUGACUUAGCAAGAUUCCAUUUUAGUGAUAAUAAAAAAAUAAGAGUAACAGGAAACAUGAUGAGUUUAGAGUCACUGAAGGCCCAGUCGUCGCAGCUGGCUGCUGACUCAAAAAGCAGUUGAUAUUGAAGAAGUUACAAUUUGGCAUUGAAGUUCUCUUUACCAAAAACACCACCGCCCCGCAUGUGAUCUUUCUAUUUAUAAAGCCUCUAUGGCCUCGGCUCACAAUCACUCAUCGAAUCAAAAGCUUACCAACAAAUCAAGAAAGACAAUCAAGAUAUUGCAUUCAUUGUUCGCAGACAUUUGUCUGAACUCAGAACCGAAAAAAGAAUGGUGUUGAUGAUUGAUCAGUUCAUUGGCACUUUCUUUGCUACUUCUCUUAUUGGCUUGCUUCUUCUCAUAAUUUUGCGCCCUAACAAGAUGAAGAAGUUGCCCAAGAGCAGAAAGAAUUACAACAAGAUGGAAAAUGACGUCGUUUUGACAUCUGCAGAUAACGAACAUUCUCUGCCUGAGAAUGUUUCCGGCCCCGAUGUCAUCAUUGUUGGUGCUGGUGUUGCUGGUGCUGCCCUGGCCCAUACCCUUGGCAAGGUACGUACAUAAUUCCUUUUUUUUCUUUUUUUGGCUUUUUGGGUUUGUUUAAUUUCAAUUAACAUAAACUAAAUUGAUAUGCAGGAUGGAAGAAGAGUUCAUGUGAUCGAAAGAGACCUGAUGGAGCCUAAUAGAAUUGUUGGUGAAUUGCUACAGCCUGGAGGAUACCUGAAACUAGUUGAAUUAGGCCUUGAUGGUAUAUAUAAUAACAUAACUAAUUAAUUACUACAAAAUUCAUUAAUUAACAUUAUCGUACCUGUUUUAAUUAUCUGAAUGAAUGCAGAUUGUGUGGAAGAAAUCGAUGCCCAUCCUGUAGUGGGAUACGCUCUGUUCAAGGACGGAAAAAUUACAAAAACUCCAUAUCCACUGGGAAACUUUCAGGCUAAUGUUGCCGGCAGGAGUUUCCACAAUGGCCGGUUCAUUCAAAGAAUGAGAGAAAAAGCUGCUUCUCUUCCCAAGUACGUACAUAUAAUAUUUUUUACUAUUCUCAAGUACGAAUAUCUGCAUAGAUUAUAUCAACAAUCAAAUACAAUGCAUUGAUUGCUCCAGAUUUUCAACAAAAACAAAAAUAAUUGGCGUUUGACAAUUUAAUGAUCAAUUCAGCGUACGGAUGGAGGAAGGGACAGUGACAUCCCUGUUUGAAGAAAAUGGAAUUGUGAAAGGGGUUCACUACAAAACUAAGGACGGUCAAGAACACAAAUCUUACGCUCCUCUUACAAUUGUAUGUGACGGUGGCUUCUCCAAUCUGCGUCGGUCUCUUUGCAAUCCAAAGGUGAAAUUUUCCUUCGUAUUUUAUUUUAUUGGCUGCAAAUAAGUCUCCUUAAUUUGUUCAUCCUAAUAAAUAUCGAUAGUAUCGAACUUGACUUGUUUUAACAGGUUGAUAUACCAUCAUGUUUUGUCGGGAUGGCAUUGGAGAACUGUCAGCUUCCAGUCCCAAAUCACGGACACGUAGUUUUAACAGAUCCCUCACCCAUCUUAUUUUAUCCAAUUAGUAGCUCAGAAGUUAGAUGCUUGGUUGAUGUACCAGCUGGUCAGAAAUUACCUUCAAUUGCCAAUGGUGAAAUGGCCAAAUACUUGAAGACCAAAGUGGCACCGCAGGUACAUUUUUGGAAUUUGUAUCCAGUGUUGAGUUGAGCUGCAUGUGUUAAUCUUUCUUGAAUUUUCUGCCACACAUGCGUUUUUGGUUGGCUAUUUUAUUAAAUGUUAAAUUACACAAUAAAGGAAAAUCUUAUAGUGUUUGGAAGAAAAGAAAAUUUACAGAGGAAAAGAAUAUUCUUGAGCUGAAUUUUAUUAUUAUUAUUUCAUCGUAAUCAAAAGAGAAAAUACAAUCUGUUUUUCUACUAAGCUCGUGAGCUUAACUAACUGCAUAAAACUAAAACAGAAACAACAGAAUAAAAGAUGCAGAGCACAGUAGACAAGUGUAACUAAUUAAGCUGAGCUGUCAAUCAAUCUGGUACACUCUCAAUCACUCUGUUGAUUUGGCUUCCUUAAUCAUUCUUUGCUUUGACUGAUCCUUGACUAAGAAGCUGAGAUGUGCUUCCUUAAUAGCCCCCCUCAAACUCAACGGGCAAGGUUGAACAUUGAGUUUGCUUCUGAAAAAAUUGAAGUGAUUGAAGGUUAAGGGUUUUGUUAAGACAUCUGCAAUUUGUUGUUCACUGGGUAUAUAAUUGAUUUGUAAUUCCUUGGCAACAACUUUAUCUCUGAUGAAGUGCAUGUCUAGUUCAAUGUGUUUGGUUCUUGAGUGAUAAAUUGGAUUCUUUGCAAGCUCAGUGGCACUCUUGUUAUCACACCAUAUCACUGGAGUUAAAGUGCACUGCAGAUUCAUUUCACUGAAUAAUGAUUGAAGCCAAGUAAUCUCUGCACAAGCUGAAGCAAGAGCUCUAUAUUCACUUUCAGCACUAGAUCUAGUCACAACUGAUUACUUCUUAGAAGACCACGAGAUUAGAUUGUUUCCCAAGUAAAUACAAUAUGCACCAACAGAUUUCCUGUCAUCAAUGUCACAAGCCCAAUCUGCAUAUGUGUAUCCAGUUAGUGUCAGCUCUCCUUCAACUCCAAAUUUCAGUCCAUAAUCCUGAGUUUCCUUUAAGUAUCUUAAUACUCUCUUACAUGCCAUUAAAUGUUGUAAAGUUGGCAUAGCAAUAUAUUGACUAAGCUUAUGUACUGCAAAGGCUAUCUCAGGCCUUGUAAGAAUCACAUACUGUAAACCACCAACCAAACUUCUAUAUGCUGAAGGAUCAUCAAUAAAUUGUCCAAGUGAAUCAUCAACUUGUUUCUGAAGUUUUGUUCCAGUAGUCAUUGGUGUGUCACAGCCUUUACAGUUCAGCUGCUCUGCUUUUGCCAAUAAGUCUCUGAUAUAUUUUCUUUGAGACAAGAAAAUACUUCCAUUGUAGUAAGAAACUUCAAUUCCCAGGAAAUAAGACAAAAUCCCUAGAUCCUUUAAGGCAAAAACUAAACUAAAAUGAGAAAUAAAAUCUUCAAGAGCUUUGCUGUUAUGACCUGUAAUUAAUAUAUCAUCCACAUAGAUUAGUACCAUAAUCAUAGAUCCUUUUUCCUUCUUUAGAAACAGUGAUGUAUCUGCUCUUGAAUUCUGAAAUCCCCAUUUAAUCAAGGUUUCCUUGAGCUUAUCAAACCAUGCUCUAAGAGCCUGCUUCAGCCCAUAAAGUGCCUUAUUCAAUUUGCAAAUAUGAUCAGGUUUGUGAACAUUGAUAAAACCCUCAGGUUGCUUCAUAAACACAUCUUCAACUAGAUCACCAUUCAAGAAUGCAUUAUUAAUAUCUACUUGCCUUAUUUUCCAGUUGUUCAUUGCAGCCAAGCUUAACACCACUCGAACUGUAGCUGGUUUAACUACUGGACUAAAAGUCUCAAAAUAAUCAACUCAUGCUACUUGUUGAAAUCCCUUUGCAACAAGUCUUGCUUUAUGCUUGGCAACACUCCCAUCAGUAUUAUGCUUGACUCUAAAUACCCAUUUAUUGUCAACAACUUUCUGUUCAAAUGUUUUAGGUACUAGAAUCCAAGUAUUGUUCCUCAUUAAUGCAUCAUACUCAUCUUUCAUUGCCUGAUACCAUCUUUGAUCUCCUAAUGCUUCUUCUACUGUAUCUGGUUCUCUACUUGACAAAGCAGCACAAUACACCUUUGGUUUGAAUAUACAUGAUUUAGCUCUAGUGAUCAUUUUGUGUGUAGGCUGAUGAAUAGGUUGCUGGUUCUGUGAAUAUGUGUUGGUUAAUAUGUCAUGUGGCAAAAUUGGAUUUUGAGGUGCUGGUUGAGAAGUUUGAGCUGAUACAGGUGAAGUGUUUAUAAUUGGUGUUUGUGUGUAGUCUUGAGAAUCAAGUAAAUCAAGUGGUUGAUUGUGUUGAGCAGUGAUUGUAUGCUCAGAACCUGAUGAAGAUUGAGUUCUGUUACUGCUGGUUCCUGCUAAGAAAGGUUCUUCAGAGCUGCUAUCAGGAAUAUAUGGCAAAGUAGACAAUUGAAAUACUAGUUGUUGGCUUAGUGUUUUGACAGACUCAGUAUCACAAGAUGAGGUAUUGGUUUUAUCAUCAAGAAUGACUGAAGGAAAACAUGUUUCAUCAAAUGUAACAUGUCUGGCAAUAUAUACUCGACCUGAAGGAUGAAGGCAUUUAUAACCUUUGUGUGAUGGACUAUACCCAAUGAAUAUACACUUGCUGGAAUGAAAAUCAAACUUAUGUUUAUUAUAGUCUCUCAAGAAUGGAUAACAUAAACAGCCAAAACACUUAAGAAAACUAUAAUCUACUUUGUGUUUAAACAACUUCUCAUAUGGUGUUUGAUUCUUGAGCACUGGAGUGGGUAACCUAUUGAUGUGAAACACUGCAGUAUGAAAGGCAUCCCACCAAUAUUGAAGACAUAACUUUGCUUGAGCUAACAAAGUCAAACCAAGUUCAACUAUAUGUCUAUGUUUUCUUUCCACUGAUCCAUUUUGAUGAUGUGUAUAAGGGCAUGAAUGUCUAAAAAAUGAUGUGUAUAAGGACAUGAGUGUCUAAAAAUAAUACCAUUUUGAUUUAGAAAAUCUGUAAGCACUCUAUAUUCUCCCCCCCAAUCAGAUUGCAACAUCUUGAUAGAUGUGCUAAACUGAUUUUCAACCUGAAGUUUGAAUAGCUUAAAGACUUCUAAAGCUUCUGAUUUAAGCUUAAGGGGAUAAAUCCAUGUAUAUCUGCUAUAAUCAUCAACAAAGCUAAUGUAGUACUUAUAUCCAUUCCUAGACAGAAUUGGUGAAGGCCCCCAAAGAUCUGUGUAUAAGUUCCAGAACAUGAGUAGUUUUGGUAUCUGUAGUUGCAAAGUGUAAUCUGUGGGAUUUUCCCAAUUGACAGGCUUUACACACAUUAUGACUGGAAUUUUUAAGUGUCUUGAGAGAGACUUUAGCACAAUUAUAAAACCUCAGCAAGUGUAUAAGAACAUUCAAAUUUGGAUGACCAAACUUUCUAUGCAACAAAGUUAAUUGAUCAACUAUUUGAGUACAAUUGGAUGAAACAGAAUUGAAACAGGUCUUAGCAAAAGAAUCACAAUUAUGUGAGGUCUGAUUGUUUCUGUCAACAAAAGACAACAUAGACAGAGGCUUAUUUGAAUGAACAACUGACAUAUAUGACUCAUGAGUUUGAGUAUUAGGUGAACUGAGUUUAAGUUGCAACUUGUACAGCCCUUUCUCAGCAAGCCCCUGCAGCAGAACUUGUCCCUUCAUUUUGUCCUUCACAAAACAAACAUUACCACAAAAUUCAACAGAGAUGUUAUUAUCUAAGGUUAGUUUGGAUAUGCUUAAAAGAUUUUUGGUUAUAGAGGGUACAAGCAGCAUAUCUUUUAACAAAAUGCAAGUAGUUGUAUGACCAGAUCGAAGAGAAGCAUUACCAACAUGAGUGAUAGUUAGGCCUUGACCAUUUCCUAUGAUGAGUUGAUCAUUACCUUUGAAUUCCUCUUUGAUGUGCAUAUUUGCCAUGUUGUUUGUGAGAUGAUGUGUAGCUCCACUAUUCAAAUACCAGCCUUCAUCAGCAGGCCCUUCAAAAUUGGCCAUGUAUGCAACUCCAGGGGAAUAUGAAGCAUGAGAACUAGGUAUGUAUACAGGAGACAAACCAGCAGAAUAUUCAUCAAAUUAGGCAUAUAACAUGGCAUGUAAUUAGCUGGUUCAAAAUUAGUCAUAUAAGCAGACUUUGGAAUUUUUCCUUUAUUAUUGGCUCUAGAUGAAGCUGGAACAAAAUCUUCAUUAAAUCUAUACUAGUAGACAUCAACACUGUGUCCAGACUUAGAGCAAAUCUGACAUAUUACCACUUCAUCAGAAAUACUAGCAGUAUUUGGAUGUGAGUUUCUAGAAAAAUUGGAUGACAUGGUAGGAGACAUGCCAUUGAAGAUUGGUUUUCCUUUCAUUUAAUACAUGUUUUGGCCUCUGCCAUAUCCACCAAAACCAGAGUAUCCUCCAUUGAAACUAUUAAAUCCAGAAAAAUUUCUUGAAGGAAAACCUCUACCAGUAACUGGUCCUCUUCCACUAUGAUAAUUGCCUUGAAAACCUCCUGUAUAACCACCUCUUUUAUAGUUUCCCCUUGUUUGUGCAAAAUUAGCAUUGAACAUGCCUUGUGCAAAAUUAGCAUUGAAAACAAUUUUAGCAUCUUGCUCUUGUUGCUCAAUUCUAGAUUCAUGAGUGAGCAACAAUGCAUAUGCAUCAUCAAAAUCCAUUUUACAAACAGUGAUAAACGAAGCUAUAUCUAGGAAGCCUGAUCCAAGACCAUUAAGGAUGUGCAUCAACAAUUCUCUAUCAUUCAAAGGACUCCCAGCACAAGCAAGCUUAUCAGCUAAGGCUUUCAUUUUCAUGCAAUAGUCUUCAACAUUCAUUGAUUCUUUCUUUAAAGUGUUUAUUUCAUACUUGAUUUGAAGUACCUUAGCUUCAUAUUGUACUCCAAAUUUCUUCUCAAGUGUUUUCCAUACAGUAUAUGAACUAUCAAGAUUAAUAACAAGACCAAGUGUACCUUCACUUAUUGAAGAUAAGAGCCAGCCAAGAAGUGUUUGAUCUUGUGAUUUCCAGGUGAUAAACUCUGGAUUCUCAAUCAGCAGAUCCCUCAGCUGUUCUGCGAGUAAUGCACUGCUCUGGUUCAAAUUUUGUUCCAUUAAUAAAACCUUCAAGUCUGUUGCCUCUUAUGGAAGCUAAUACUUGAGAUCACCAAAUUAAGUAAUUGAUUCGAUCUAACUUCACAUGAGUGAUGAAUGAAAAAUUUGUUGAGCUUAUUGAAUUAGUGUUUGUGUUUACAAUUGGAUUGCUGGAGCUAGCCAUAUUGAUCUGGCUCUGAUACCAUAAAGGAAAAUCGUAUUGUGUUUGGAAGAAAAAUAAAGGAAAAUCUUAUAGUGUUUGGAAGAAAAGAAAAUUUACAGAGGAAAAGAAUAUUCUUGAGCUGAAUUUUAUUAUUAUUAUUUCAUCGUAAUCAAAAGAGAAGAUACAAUCUGUUUUUAUACUAAGCUCGUGAGCUUAACUAACUGCAUAAAACUAAAACAGAAACAACAGAAUAAAAGAUGCAGAGCACAAUAGACAAGUGUAACUAAUUAAGCUGAGCUGUCAAUCAAUCUGGUACACUCUCAAUCACUCUGCUGAUUUGGCUUCUUUAAUCAUUCUUUGCUUUGACUGAUCCUUGACUAAGAAGCUGAGAUGUGCUUCCUUAAUACACAGUUAACGAAAAGUAUUAGAAAUCCCUUGUGAAGCUAAUCAUAGUUACAUGAUGAGCACUGUUGUUCGUUUCAGAUUCCUGAUGAGCUUCGCGAUGCAUUCAUUUCAAAAGUUGAGAAAGGCAGCAUUAGAACAGCGACAAACAGAAGCAUGCCGGCGGCUCCCAAAACUACCCCCGGAGCCCUUUUGUUGGGUGAUGCUUUCAACAUGCGCCAUCCUUUAACUGGUGGGGGAAUGACUGUGGCUCUCUCUGACGUCGUCGUACUUAGAAAUCUUAUAAAGCCUCUUCAGGAUUUUCACGAUGCUGCUUCUCUUAACCAAUAUCUCGAAUCCUUUUACACCUUACGCAAGGUAACUGUCAAUAUAAGGGUGUGCAUGGUUGAUUGAUAUUAUUUUAACAUGCAUGCAGCCCGUGGCGUCUACAAUAAACACUCUAGCAAAUUCUGCUUAUCAAGUGUUUUCAGCGUCAUCUGAUGAGGCAAGAGAGGUAAUGCGGCAGGCAAGUGUUGAUUAUUUAGGGCUUGGAGGAAUUUACACAUCGGGAGCAAUGGCUCUACUCUCAGGCCUAAACCCUAGCCCAUCAAGCUUAAUUUUCCAUUUCUUAGCAAUGGCAAUAUUUGGUGUUGGUCGUUUGUUAUUACCAUUUCCUUCGCCUAAACGCCUGUGGAUUGGUGCUAAGCUAAUUUGGGUAAGCAUUUUCCUUAGUCAAAAUUCUCAUCAGAUGGGGACGUUUGCAUUUUACAAAAUACUAAUUGACAAAAAUUAAAUGAUAUUUUAUUACCACAAUUCAUAUUUAAGAGAAGAAGCGACUUUUUAUCUGGCUACUACUUUACAACUGAUUAUUUAAAUAUCGUCUGGAAUAUUUUUUAUUCAUAAGAAGAAAAAAAAUCAUAUUUAUGCUGCAGGGUGCAUCAGAAAUUCUUUUUCCUAUCAUCAAAGCGGAGGGAGUGAGGCAAAUGUUUUUCCCUGCAACUGUUCCAGCAUUAUAUGGAAGAGCUCCUCCUGUUUAUAACUGAUUGAUGCAUCAAAUUGAAUUAAAGCAUAAAAUUAAUUGUAGCUUGGGCUUUCUUGCCAUCAAUACAUGUCCAUGUAGCGAUUUAGGGUCUGUUGAGAUUUUUAGGAGAGGUGAAACCAGCUCCUUAUUUCUCUUAAGCGUAAUUAAUUCUUUGUAAUUAAAAUUACCUUUAUUCUUUUAAUGAUUAAAUUCGUUAUUAUUUUGUGGCAAUUAGUUUAAAGUUAUUGCUUGCUAUUUUAUUCAAGGUUUAAUCACUUAUGUCAGCGAAGAUUAAUGCCCAUCUUCUUCUUAUUUAUAAAUAAAAUAUGCCGUAAUGUUUGUGUGAGAAAGAGCUUAACAUACACCCAAAUAAUUACAUUGCAUAUAUAAUUGUUUUGAUUACCCAAUAAAGCACUUUAUGAUAGAGCAAGUCAGUGGAACACUAGCUAAUUGCGUAUUACAUUAAUUUAACUAUUCAGGCUUUUAUUUUUCAUUUAUUAAUUGACCAUGUAUAAGAUCAUUAUCGCAUUGAUUUUGGUGCAUUCAACAAUUCUUGGAAGGUAGCAAAACGAGAUUGAGAUAUUCACCAAGAGCCCAUACGGGAAAGAUGUUUCUGUAAGCAGAAUAACUUAUCGUACAAUUCUUGUUGAAUACUCCCAUGAUUUCCUAUAAAAGAAAAAAUAGAUAUAAAGGUAAUUAUUAAAAAAAAUUAUUAUAGUAGUUUUAUCUUUCAAGUCUUACAAUUAUUAUAUUCAAGACGAUUAUCUAUCUCUCUCUCUUCUUUUUUUUUUUUUAACUUAAUUAUGUCUCUCUUUAUAGUAUGCAGAUUUACCUGUUGCGGGAAAUCUCCAUUUUCCAUUUGUGAAUUAAUGAGCACCUUUGCAGCGCGGUGUAAUGGGAUUGGAUCUCUAUGAGCCUAACCCAUUUAUGUAAAUUAAAAAAAAAAAUUGUCAUUAUUGUUAAGAUUUGAUUAAUUAUAAUUCGAAACUAGUUAAAGAAUAUAUUUACUAAUUUACAUACCUGGCCAGCUUCAAUGAGAGAGAGCAUUGCCCACGCAGUGUUUACGAGAUGUGAUUUAUUUCCUUCCAGAUUUGUGUAUACCUUAUCAAAGAUUUCACAAGAGCAGUUUAAAAAAAAAAAAAAAAAAAGGUACAAUCAAUAUAAUGGUUUUUUCUCCCUCUAUGCAAUCAACAAUUUCUUUUCCAAAAUUUCCUGGGAAAAUAACAAACUUGGAUAUCCUUAAUAAACUUAAAAUUGAGUUAAUUACCUUGUUUUGGCAAGAAAGAUCGCUCUCUCCCCACCCACCAGAAUCAAGCUGUUUGGAUAGCAAGAAAUUACAUGCUUUUUUUAUGUUAUUGCUAUUUUCAUAUGUUUUACCGCAAGUCACCAGGCCCUUUACUCCAAACCACGUUCCAUAUGUGAAGCACACUCCCCACGACCCAUACCUAAAUUCAUAAAUAAUCACUUCAAAUUAUCAUAACAUUUCUUAACAUAUUAAAAAUCAAGAUGCCUAAAUAUUUAAUUAGAGAGUGAUAUACAGGAAACUUUUAUUUAAAUUAACAUGACAUUUAUAUACAAGUUAAACAUACCAUGAACCAUCAGGUUGUUGUUUGCUUUCAAUAAACUCGAUGGCCUUUUCAAUACAGGCUUCUAUUUCUUUUCUCCUGUGUCCUGGAUAGAUUUUCAUGAAUGAUUUUAGACCUUGGAUUGCUGCUGAAGUGCAUUCCACAUACCUAAAUUAAACACGAAAUAUGAGCGACCAUAACUCCUGUAAUAAAUUAGACACCUAAUUUAAUUUUAACUACUCUUAAAUUUAGUUUGUCAUAACUUGCACAUAUUGAUUAUCUGCAUUUUGAUGUAGCUUAGAAAAUUCGUAGUUUAUACUUUUUAUUGCUAAUUAAUCAAUGGAAUAAUUAAUUAAUUUGGUUAUCUUACUGAUAAUCUAUAAUGAUAUCUCCGAAAGUUUCAGCUGGAUUGAUCAUCUGAAAUUUAAUACAAAUAAAAUCUUGUCAAAACUUAAUCAAUGCCUCACUCCUCAGUUAAUAGACCCAAUUAAUUGAAAGGAAAAUAUUUUUCUCACCUCUAACCAUGCAUAAGAUCUUGUUAGCUCAUAAGAUGCAAAGCCUCCAGUGCUGUUCUGCAAUUAAGAAGACAUGCAUUUGUACAAACCUGACAUGUUUUCUUUCGAAAGACAAUUAAAUAGUUGAUAAUCAAUUUUAAGACCGUUGUCUAUGAAGUACCUGUAAGGAUAAGAUAACAUUAACAGCAUCAUAUAACUGAUUUUCUUGUAUUGCUUCUCCCACUAUGUCAGCUGGCAAUUGUGAUAAUAAUAUUGCUGCCUGUAUGAUCAUGAAUCGAACCAACCUUUCCAUCGUAAGAAGUUUUAUCGGUUUAAUUAAUAAGUACCCACAUGCCAACAUAGCAUCUAGCCUCAGGAAACAGAGACUUGGGAAAAAGAAAUGUACCUUUAAUCCUUCAGCAGUACAAUCUAAAACAGGCCAACCAUUGUCAGCAGUGGAGAAAGGCCAUCCUCCUUUAGAAAUAUGGCGGUACCAAUAAUUAAGAUCACCACUGCAAUCUUCCCGAACCUUAAUUGACAAAUUUAAUCAUGAGUUAUGAACAAGAAAAUCCGCUAACAUUUUGUUUUAAUUUAGGAUUUAAGAUAGGUUUGAUCUUUUAAGUGAAAUUAAUAGAUACUUGAGUGUUUUUUAGGAAACUGAAGGCUUUCUUAAGUGUUGAACCACAUUCGUCAACAAGAUCAGUGGCCAAGAUUGCUUGGACUGCAAAUGUUACAUCCCACAGUUGUGACCCGUUGUAUCCCUGUCAUUGAGGAUUUUAUAAUUAAUAUCAAAAUCCCAAAUUGAUUAAAUUUUUCCUAAAUAAAACUGUUUAACUAAUUGCAACCUGCAUCUUCAUUCCAUCUUCAGCAAGCCAGAGAUAGUCUUUAAUUCUUGAGAGGUGACGUUUAUAGGCCUCAGAAUUUGGGUCCUCCACCCAACAGCAAAUCAUGUUUAGUACCUAUGUAUGCACAAAGGUUGGACUAUUUAUCAAUUCAAAUGUAGUGGGCUGAUAUUAUGUGCGGACACAUGUUACUAUUUCAUUGGUGGGGUUGUGGGCCCACAACAUAAUCCUAUUAAUAAAAAAUUGACACGCGUCCUAUUACGUACUAUAACGUGUGUGAUAAUACCCAUCCGAUCAAGAUUCUUUAAAUGUAAUUAAUUGAUCUUACAUUAUUAAUUAAUAUUCCUAAAAUAGCUUCCAAUGUAUCAAAAACCAUUCUAAAACUUUGUAAAUACAAUUAUUUUUCCAAAAAAGCUUACAAUGGAUUUGAUUUGACCAAUGGCAGAAUAAGAAUUUUGGUUCAAUGGGAGGUAUAAUAGAGAAAAACAAACUUUUUAGGCUAAAAGAUAAAAACUGUAAAUAUGAAGGGAUUAGUCAUAAAAUUUACAUUAAGUGGGUUAAAUUUCGUCCAGAAAAUUACCUUAUUGACGGGGCCAAUGCAAAUAUACUGAGUAUUCUCAUCUUCAUAAUGGAUGUGUUGCAUUACAGUUUUAAGAGCAUUGUGUCUCAGCUUAGAGAAAGGCCAUUUCUUUACAAGAGGUUCCCCAAUCUUGUGAAGACACCCCCAUAAUAUGUCUUGGAUCAUGGGGUGGGGAUAGUAAAGGUCCUCCUGCAAAACGUUAAUUUUUCUCCUAUUAUAUUAGUAAUAAUACAAAUAAAGCUAAAUAUACCAAUUGCCAUACAAAGUUUUAUUUGCUUACAAAUUGGUAUGGUAUUUUUCUUUAAACAAUUUUAAUACAAAUGCUCUCUUUACAAGCAGGUCCAAAAUUAAAAUCUUGUCAUAUUAGAACAAGGGAACCACUCUAGUUUUCUUUAAUUAAUAUUUCAAAAAUAAUUUCUGCAACCUCUAUCGUCCUUCCGUCUACUUUUGAAGAAAGUGACCUUCCAUCCACUUUUGAUUUUGAUAGGAAAUUAAAUAUUAUACAUUAUGCGAAAAUAUUGAUCAUUUGAUUGUCUUUUAUUAUAGAUCUCAAUUAUUGAUUCAAUCUAAAUCAUUCGGGAGUUAAAUAUUUUUAAUUUCUUCACAAUUACAUCGUACUACUUCUCAAAAAAAGAAAAAAAUUACAUCACACUACCUUCCCUACUUUAUAAUCAAUUUUGUUUAUAUUAUGUUUUCAAAAAAUGAAAAAGAUUAUCUCACUCAUUAUUUUAUAUCUUAUUCUCAUGUCACCCGUACAAAAAUUUAUAAUUUAAUCUCUUACAAGUGACAAUGCCAACAUUAUUUAAAGCCCCAAUUGUCGAAUCUUACCACUCAUUAUUAUUAAUUUGAGCAAUUAACCACGCAUUGACACUAGAAUAAAAUUAUUUUUCUAUUAAGUUAUCAAGGAAAAUGAGUGGAACCCCUUAAAUAAAUAUCUUUAAUUAUUUAAUUAAUUGAAUAAUUUAUAAUUUAUAAUUAACUGAAAAACUUUGGGUAAAAAUAAAGGAAUUUCAUUAUAUAUAUAUUCGGUUCCCUUAAAUUAUUAAAGUAAAGAAUAAAUUAAAAGACAGAAGAGACACACAAUUCGAUACACGCACGAUCGGAUAAAACACCUUAUAUUGGAGCGUGUAUUUUGUCUUUUACUUUAUCUCUUACUUUAGUAAUUUAAGAAAUCCAUAAUUGGAUAAUGACUAUAUAUAAAUUAAACUUUUAUAUUUAAUUUUCAAUUGUUUUGUAAAAAUUCAUAACUAAUUAAAAUUUUAUGACAAUUUUGCUUACUUGUUCCAUAAUUUUUCAUUUACUUUUGCAAUUAGUUAUGAAAAAAAUAAUUAGUCAAUUAAUUAAAGAAUUAUAUAUAUUCAUAUAACCCCAACGUCAAACAACCACAAAGGAUAAAAUGAUAAGAUUAACAAAAAAAAAUUGACACCUAAAAACAUUUAAACAUAUUUUAAAUUAUCAAAGGGUUUCGAUUAGUCUUAUUAAACAAUAUGGGUUCGCUCUUUUUCUCAAAUUAUCACAUAAAAGAGAAAUGAGGAAAAAAAUUGACAUUUAAUAUUGUAAUUGUAAUAUUUAUUAUUAGUAGAGUAUUAAGUUAAUUCGGCUUGUCUUUUCUCUUGUGGCACAUAAAGUUAUGAAGUUUUUAAAUUUAAAUAGAAUGGAAUAAAGAUUAUUUUAAUUUUAUUGUACCUUGGCACAAAAAUUUCGGGCAUGGUCCCAAUCGAUGGAGUGAUAAGGAAGCGUGUAGAGCUCCUUUCUAAGAGAUAAAAUAAGAGAAUUGAAUGGACCGACAAAUCUGGUUCCAUACAAAUACGACAUUGGCAAAUACAUCAUCCGACAAUGACACCACAUACGUCCUGCAUACGUGCAUUAAUUUCAUCAAUUUAUACGAUCCAUUUACUUGUAUCAUUCAAAACUAUAACUAAUUAAUUUACUAUUCCAAAAUGUACUAACACGACAAUAUGGGAAAUUUUCUCCGACGUACAUGUAUUUAUUCUAUAAAAUCCAAAAUUAAUUUAUGAUUAUUGAUAUAUAGUUAACCCAGUAUUUUUAUGGCCAUAGUAAUUAAAGUUUGGAAAUUUUAAAGUGUGGGAAAGUUUUGGAAAAUGUAUAAACCGUGCGGUUUAAAUUCUUUAAGUUUUAAGUUUUUAAAAUCCCACAGUUUUAAAAUUUUCUUGAAUUUUUUCCGCACUUUAAGAUCCCAGACCAAAAAACAUAAACAUCCGAUAUUAAUUAACUACAUGGUAUAAUGAGUUCCUUUUCACUUAAAAUAUCAAUUUAAGGUUUUGAAUUUACACAUAAAAAAGCUGAAUUAUAGAUAAUAUAAACAAACACACAAACAAAAUUAGUUUUUACCUGGAUGAAAAGGAAGAAAAUAAGGGAGAAGCCAUAUUUCCGGGGGUAGUGGAUUGUUCCCACUCCACUCGUAUACUCCAAGCACCUAUUUUUAUUUUGCCGAAAAAUAUCGGUAGCAAAAAUCUAAAUAAUGAUUUGUGAAGAUAAAAUAACAAAACAGUAAUAUAAAAUGUGAACUAAUUGUAUACGGUUUGCUCGCAAUUCAGUGCUAAAUUGUUGUGUAUUUUAGCCUUGAAAUGCCAACAUUCGUGAACAAAUUUGCACGAAGACGUUCAGACCGGAGAAUGAUUACAAGGAUGUAAUGAAUGGUUCAUACCGAAAGCCACAUCUUUCCCCAAGAUGGAAUGGAGGUCACCCCACCGCGAUCAAGGAUCCAUUUUCGGGCUUUUUCCAUGGCACCAUCAUCCCCAC